AUGAUUAAAGAUCUUAUUCUUUCCUCCUGGAAUGUGAGGGGUCUGGGGAGGCCCGCUAAAUGUACUGAUGUUAAAGCCGUGCUUUGCGCUUCAUCCUCUUCGAUCAUCUGCUGCCAAGAAACUAAGCUUAUUGAUAUCCCUCUUUUCAAAGCUAUCUCGUUUCUACCCCAGAACCUUAGGACCUUUGAAUUUCUGCCCUCUCUUGGUGCCUCUGGAGGUAUCCUUACCGCCUGGGAUGACAGCGUUUUUCGCUGCACAAAAGUCCUGAAAAACCAGUUUUGCUUUUGCCUAACCUGCUGGUUCGAAUCUUCUACUGAUGAUUUCACUGUCGUUGUCUCAAACGUCUAUGGCCCCUGCGAUCCCCCCUCCAAGCCCGCCUUUCUUCAGUCCUUGUUGGAUCUGGAACCUCAAAUUUCUGGCCCUUGGACUAUCAUAGGAGAUUUCAACACUACUCUUCGCCCAUCAGACAAAUCCAAUAACAUUUUCAACAUGAACGACGCCCUGCUGUUCUCUUCGGCCAUCCAUACUUUGCAACUACAAGAUCUACCUCUUCUUGACCGACGUUUUACGUGGUCUAACCAACAACAAAGUGCCAUCCUCGUGCGGCUGGACCGUGCCCUUGUGAACGUUGCGUGGGCUCAAAACUUCCCUGACAGUGCCCUCUCCCCUCUAACUAGGACUACCUCUGACCACGUACCACUUAAGCUGACCGCUUCGAUGUCUAUUCCCAAAUCUACUAGCUUUAGGCUGAACAACUCCUUGCUCGCAAACCCCUGCUUCCGCCAGAAGAUCUCUACCAACUGGAAUAGUGUCGGAAACACUCACCAUAAUCUUGCUACCGUGGGCUGUCUUUCCCUCAAGCUUAAAAGAACUAGAGACAUGGCAAAAAAAUGGUCGGCUAACAUUCCUUCUCCCAAGAUCCUUGCCCGUCGGCUAACAUUCCUCAAGCUAGACCUCCGCAUUUUGUGGCUCGGCAGGCGCAGAACUCGACGGCGCCGGUGCUGA
Molecule: ribosomal RNA, 1005 nt
Filed under: Triticum aestivum (bread wheat)
Lineage: Eukaryota; Viridiplantae; Streptophyta; Magnoliopsida; Poales; Poaceae
Description: partial small subunit ribosomal RNA
Source: RNAcentral